UCAAUUGAACUUAAAAAACCCAUUUAAGAAGUUCUUUUUCCCCGUUGAAAAAGUCAGAAAUUUUUAACUUUUUCUAGGCCAAAAGUGCUUUUGGCUAAUUAAUUACUUUUUUGUCAUUAUUAUUUUUCAUGUUUCUUCUUCAUUUCUUCUUCUCUCUAGUUCUUUUUUAUUUUCCUUCCAUCUUCUUCUCUCUAUUCUUUUUUAUUUUCCUUCCAUUUUCUUCAAGAUCUUCAAGGUGAGCUUCCACCGAUGAGCUUCCACGGUUGUACCUGAAGCUAAAAAUUUAAAACAUCGAGCAUUGAUCCUGAAUUCGAAGGGAAGUUAGACCAAAUGUUCAUGGGAGUAGUUGCAACAGGUGAUAAAGCAUGAACACCUUCUUCUGGUACACUCCGUUGUAAAUUUUUUGAGUAUUUUGACAAUUAAAUACCUGAAGAGAAUGAGGAAGAAAAUGUGAGAAAUGAUGUUCACAUUGAUGGAAAUGAUUAAAAAAGAAAAACAGCUAAGAUAUCAACUUCACGUUUUAAAACUGGAAGGAAGAAAUCCUCAAAGCAAAUUGGAAGGGCUACAAGAUUAUUUAGUCAAAUGGAAAAAUUAUGCAAUGCAGCUAAAAAUAUGAGUCAAGCUACAUCUAGUUUGACUCAUGUUAUAGAUCCUUAUAGUAUUCCACAAGCAAUCAAAGUGUUUGAUAGCAUGUCGGAGGAAGUUCCAGAAACUAGUCCCUUAUAUUUUUUAUCAUUGAGAUUAUUACUCAAUAAGGACAAGCGAAUUAUGUUUUUAUCAAUUAAUCCCAAGAUUAGAGCUUUGUGACUUAAGACAGAAAUGGAGGAUAGUUGAAAAUUUUCUAGUUUUCUAGGGUCUAGAGAUAUCUACUAUGUGACUAAACAACAAUGCUAAACUAGUUUUAUCAAUAGUUGUUUAUGUUUGGUUUUUGGAUAUUGAAUUUAUAUUCUACUUAUUUAUGUGUAAUCUAGUUUUAUCAAUAGUUGUUUAUAAUUGAUUUUGGAUAUAAAA
Molecule: long non-coding RNA, 1011 nt
Organism: Gossypium arboreum
Lineage: Eukaryota; Viridiplantae; Streptophyta; Magnoliopsida; Malvales; Malvaceae
Exons: 3
Source: RefSeq, a predicted model, not a curated record